UGCGUCAUACAUUAAACCUGGAAAAGGUGAAUGACACUUUUUGUUGUCCAUAUUGUAUUUUCCUAUUUCUUUAUUCCACCCCUUUUUGCUCUUCCCUAUUUUCUCCCUUUUUCUUUCAUUUUAGCCAUCAACCACCAUUUGUAUUAUCUUUCCUCCUCUCCCCCACUACUCCUUUACCUUGAACCACCAUCGUCACCACCGGACCUCCACAUUACCAUCAUUUUUCUCUUUUAUUUUCUCCACCAUCGUCCUUAACGCCGCCCUCUUUCACCUUGAUAACCAUUGCACACUAUCGCGCAACUUCUCCCUUUUUCUUAUUUUCUUUUCUCCUCUCAUUUCUACUCUUUUAAGAGAGUGACCGAAACAAUAUUCUUUCUUUUUCCUCUGCCGAA
Molecule: long non-coding RNA, 392 nt
Filed under: Gossypium raimondii (Peruvian cotton)
Lineage: Eukaryota; Viridiplantae; Streptophyta; Magnoliopsida; Malvales; Malvaceae
Description: long non-coding RNA (GRAI_LNC004514)
Source: RNAcentral